GGCCUGGUGGUCUAGUAGUAUGAUUCCUUCUUAGGGUCCUGAGGGACGAUUUGGAGGAGGUCCCGGGUUCAAUUCCCGGCCAGGCCC
This is a non-coding RNA of Polyporus arcularius HHB13444, 87 nucleotides long. The record is from the annotation of a GenBank genome assembly. NCBI's taxonomy places the organism in Eukaryota, Fungi, Basidiomycota, Agaricomycetes, Polyporales, Polyporaceae.